RNAcentral lists this long non-coding RNA (1360 nucleotides) under Ursus maritimus (polar bear). Its description in RNAcentral is "lncRNA (ENSUMAG00000006215.1)". The record is from RNAcentral. Lineage: Eukaryota; Metazoa; Chordata; Mammalia; Carnivora; Ursidae.
CAGUAAUGUGCCCAAGGUCACACAGACAGUGGGUGGCAGAGGCAGGAUUCCAUUGCUGUCUGACUCCGGCAUCCCUCUUGGGUUUUGUCAUGUUCCUGCUUCCAGCUUGAGAUAUGUAUCCCACCACAUCCCUGACUCUCUCGCUCAGAUUCCAGGAGCCAGGUUCCCUGAGGGGCACCAUCCUUAGGAGCCGCAGGACUAGAGAUGUCACCUGCCAUCGGCCCCUUUUGUGUAAGUAGCUUCGACAGCCCUUGCCACCUUCUGUGAGCAUCCCUUGUAGCGGGUGACUCCACCCCUUCUCCUCCCUGCCACGGCUGACUGGACCAACAUUGGCCACGUGACCCGAAAGCUGCCUAUCUAUAGGCUGGCCCACCACCCUAUCACGGUGUGGCUUGGAUGGCUUGGCCAAUCAGGUUCUCUCCUGCAAUUCGAACUCAGACUCAAGGAAGUUCCAGUUGGUGGUGGCCAUUGAACUUGGAUGCCGAGCAGAUUCAGGGUUGGAGCAGCUGUUUAGGACAGCUGAGUCCCGGAGGAAACCAGGCGACUGACACGGGAGGUCUCGGCCGCUGCAGAAGGCAGAACAGCGAUGUCACGAAGGAGCGACUUUCUAAAGAAGGCCGCAUCAUCGGGCCCCAUGUGGGCGAGGACCUGCAUUUGUUCCCCGUAGAGUGGUGCUGCGUGCUCCCGGGGCAAUGAGCCUCCGGACUCGAACUCGUACCGGCACCUCCGUGGGUCAUACGUAUCUUUCUUGGGCCAGGGUAAGUCUCAUGAAUACCUGUUUGUUGAGUGUGGCUGCCCAUCCGAAGUUAUACAGAUAUGGUUACUUUCAACUCGUGCACAGUGAAAUCCACUGGGGUCUCUCUCCUGUGUCACUCUUAGUGAUGGCAGCCCCCGCCUCCCACCCAGGAAGUAACGGGCUGUCAUCACAGAUUUGUCCCUCUCUCAGUGGGUCAUUGGGCUGAGUUGAGAGUCAUCUUCUGCUCAGGUGCCAACCUCCUCCUUGGUGUCCCUGCUGCUGACAUUACUUCCUUCCAAAGCACUUUUCUUAUUGCUGCAGGAGGCGGCUUUUCAAAAUGCAGAUCUGAAUGCGUCCCUCCUCUCCCUAAGACCUUCGCUGGCUCCCCAUUGCCCUUAUCUUGAAGACUUUUUUCGUCGAGUCAUGCCUACCCAUCCGGUGUCUCCUGUUGCUCACGUGUGAACAUGACCCCCUGGUUGCGUGAACCGUUAGUUCUCAGAGUGUGGACCCUCCUUCUUCCUGCCAUGCCUCUGCUCACACUGUCUUCCAUCUUGCUUGUCUUCCCUUCACACUAUCUGCCUCUCAAACCCCUGCUCAUUCUUCUGGACUCAGCCAGAGCAUUUC